RNAcentral lists this long non-coding RNA (889 nucleotides) under Phoenix dactylifera (date palm). RNAcentral's name for it is "long non-coding RNA (PDAC_LNC006155)". Lineage: Eukaryota; Viridiplantae; Streptophyta; Magnoliopsida; Arecales; Arecaceae. The record is from RNAcentral.
GGACACUCAUGUGGAGAUUGUCGCAUUUUGGAUUAGUGGCAAUGGGGAGGUGGUGGCUGUGGAGGAUGGCUAAGAAGCGAUUGAAACUGGUUACAAGAUGUUUGGUGAUGAGAAAGGGAGAGUUACAGAAGUGGUUGGGGUAGAGAGAUGGGACCAAAGAGGAGUUGUACUAGAGUCGUUGAUAGAUGAGGCUAAGAGAGUGAGAGGGUCUUUUGGAAUGAAGACGAAGUUGUGAUGUAUGUUUUGCACCAUAGAGGGCUAGACAUGUUAUUGUUGUUGACGCCGAGCUCAUAGAGGUAGCGAAGGUUGGUGAGGUUGAGGAUAGUAUUGUUGAAAUUUUAGCAUGGAAGAGGGUUUAGUUAAGGAGAUAGUUGAUGUGAGGAUCAGUGCGGGUGCGUGUUUAGUUCUAAAUCGAUUAUUCGCUGAAUAAAUUUGGGUAUUUAUAUAGGAUCAAGAAAUUCAAAUAAUAUCUUUCGACUAGUUAUUUUGGAUGAGAUUUUAGAUUGUUACCAAUGGAAUUGAGUUCAAAAAAAUAUUAUAGGGCCGGAGGGGAUGGUCUUCUUGAAGCCUUGGGUAGGCAUAGUAUUGCCAUGAGAUUGGGGAAGUUAGAUGGUUGGGGUUCUGGAGCCUUGUUUCUUCUUCAUUUUCUCUUUCCGCGGCCGCCCAUCAUUGCAUGCUGCCGCUAAUCGAUUGCCGGUCCCCCAACUUCCACCCACCACCACCAUGGUUCUCGGGAGCUCUCCUUUCUCCCAUUUCCUCUCCAUCUUCUUCCCUCGACUAAACUAUAUUAGGAGCCCUAUUCUUUUCUCUCUGUUUUCUGUCUCCGACUCUCUCAUUUUCUCUCUCUCUCUCAACCAUUCUCUCUCUCUCUCUCUCUCUCUCUCUCUNN